This 500-nucleotide ribosomal RNA is filed under the name uncultured bacterium. Its description in RNAcentral is "partial 16S ribosomal RNA". It matches the Rfam family "Bacterial small subunit ribosomal RNA", at positions 27 to 507 of the family's 1533-position model. The record is from RNAcentral.
GGACGAACGCUGGCGGCGUGCUUAACCCAUGCAAGUCGAACGGGCCUGUCUUCUUUUUUGGGGGUGGGUUGAGUGGCGAACGGGUGCGUAUCACGUGAGUAACCUGCCCUUCGGUCCUGGAUAACCGCUUGAAAGGGCGGCUAAUACGGGGUGGUCCGGUUGGUCCGCAUGGGCUGGUCGGGAUAGAUUCACUGUUUUUGGUGUUUCGGCGGGGGAUGGGCUCGCGGCCUAUCAGCUUGUUGGUGGGGUGAUGGCCUACCAAGGCGGUGACGGGUAGCCGGCCUGAGAGGGUGGGCGGCCACACUGGGACUGAGAUACGGCCCAGACUCCUGCGGGAGGCAGCAGUGGGGGGUAUUGCACAAUGGGCGGAAGCCUGAUGCAGCGACGUCGCGUGAGGGAUGGAGGCCUUCGGGUUGUGAACCUCUGUUUCCGGUGGUGAAGGCCCUGUCCGUGUGGUGGGGUUGACGGUAGCCGGGGAUGAAGCGCCGGCUAACUACGUG